CGCCGCUUAUUAUCCCCUCAGUCCUGCGGCUCACAUUCACCUCUCUCUCAACGCCGGUCGCCGCCUAGAUGUGUCACCUGACUUGCCACCGUCCUCCACUCUCGUCUCAGAUUUGACCCCAAAGUCAAGCGGCAGGCAGCAGCAGUAGGUUCCCGUGUCGCCAUGAGCUGGAUGGGGAAGCGGGGGUUGCAUGGGGAGAGCCCGCACAGGCGGAGAAGACGGACGAGGACUGGCGGCCUCGGAGCUACUGGCGGCCCCGGAGGUACCUCGCCGCCGCGUCCAGUUCGACCCUGCCUCCUGCAAGCACGGCGACUUCUUGGACACCGUCUGGGCGGGCCACGACCUAACCACGCCCAAUCUCUUCAGGCAUGGGAAUGGCACCCAUACAGCGCUCGUGAUCCAUCAACGGUGCUAGGUGCCUUAGUGCGCCAGAUGUAUCCACCGCCAAUUGGUCCAAAAAAUGAUCAGAAACCGGUAUUGUGUUGGGAGGACUACAAGUGGUCCCCUAGUCCAGAAGUAAGAACAGCAGCUUCCAAAAUAGUGGAAGAAUUUUGGUGGCGUUUCAAGUGUGACCCAUCGGAGCAAGAGAAUGCAGAUGGUGUUUUGGAGGAGAACUUAACUAGGAAAGUGAAGCAGAUGCUACAUGAGGAAAAGGCGGCAGCCAUCAAAAGAUUAAAGAAGAAGGGACAAUUGCCUACAGAACUAACAGAAGAGGAUGAGGAUGGUAACCGCUGGCCAACUAAGGAAGCUUUAAUUUCUGCAAAGAGAGUUGACUUUGGUACAGACGUUGGUUGGCUUCUACUAUGUGAGCACUGGAGUAGUACUGAAUUUAGAGGGUUAUCUUUAACCAACAAAAGGAACAGACUUGCUAAUGGGGACACGGUCUUCCAUUGCAGUGGUGCUAGAAAUGUUGUCGCCACACGUCAAUUUCUGAAACUUAAAACCGGGAAAGACCCUGGAAUUUCUGGUGCUUGGCUUCACACGCACAAAUUGCAUCGAGGGACUGAUGAAGAGCAGAUAUGCAGUCAAAGAACUGCUGAUCAUUGGGAGGAUUUUGAUAAGGCAAUGAAAAAUGCCCAUGGAGAAAAUUGGGAAGAGGAGCACCCGGAUUUAGAUGGACAAAUCAUCUACGAAGCAGCAGGCAGAAUGCCACAUGGUAGGCUGGGAAUUGCUAAUGAGUUGUUUAGCAAAGCAGAGAAGGCGAAGUUUAAGUCUAAAAGGGCGAUGGCCUCACAGCCGGUGCAAUCUGCCAAGGAGGAGCGUCUAGAAAGAGAAAACAAAUAUUUGAAGCAGAAGAUCAAGCGUCUUCGAGGCAUUGAGCUUGUUGUUCAGUCUUUGGCUGAGAAAGGGGGAGUCGACUUUGAUGGCAUAAUGCAAUCAGCAACAGAUGACUUGUCUCCAUCAUAUUCUGAAGGCGGAUUUCAAAGGGGACAAGGUGAUGUGCCUCAACACCAAACCGAAAAGGGAAUGGGAAGCAGGACUGGAGGCAGUACGAGUCAUGGAAAUGAUGAUGAGGACGACGACUAUGGCAAUGGGGGAUAUGGUAACUAUGGCGAGGGUGAUCUGUAUGGUGAUGAGCACUAUGAUCACUAUGGCGAUGGGGAAUAUGAUGACUAUGGAGAUGAGGAUGACUAUGGCUAUGGCUAUGGCGGUGGCGAUGGUGAUGAUGAUGAUUGGCUAUAAAAUCUAAUGAUCUUCAAGUCAUGUCAAAAUGUAGUUGUGUUAGAUAUUUGUAACACUUUAUUAUCUUAUGGACAAAUUUGUCUUAGUGGACAAUUUAGCUUAUGCAAAAUGUGGCCUAUCUCAGUUACUAUUUUGUUCUGCAUUCGACAUUUGAUAAUUAUGGUUAAUGC
Molecule: ribosomal RNA, 1853 nt
Filed under: Triticum aestivum (bread wheat)
Lineage: Eukaryota; Viridiplantae; Streptophyta; Magnoliopsida; Poales; Poaceae
Description: partial small subunit ribosomal RNA
Source: RNAcentral